GAUGAACGCUAGCGGCAGGCUUAAUACAUGCAAGUCGAGGGGCAGCAUGAUUGUGGCAAUACAAUUGAUGGCGACCGGCAAACGGGUGCGGAACACGUACACAACCUUCCAAUAAGUGGGGAAUAGCCCAGAGAAAUUUGGAUUAAUACCCCGUAACAUAACGAUGUGGCAUCACAUUGCUAUUAUAGAUUUUUCGCUUAUUGAUGGGUGUGCGGCUGAUUAGGUAGUUGGCGGGGUAACGGCCCACCAAGUCUACGAUCAGUAGCUGAUGUGAGAGCAUGAUCAGCCACACGGGCACUGAGACACGGGCCCGACUCCUACGGGAGGCAGCAGUAAGGAAUAUUGGACAAUGGACGCAAGUCUGAUCCAGCCAUGCCGCGUGAAGGAUUAAGGUCCUCUGGAUUGUAAACUUCUUUUAUAAGGGACGAAAAAAGGCUUUUCUAAGUCGUCUGACGGUACCUUAUGAAUAAGCACCGGCUAACUACGUGCCAGCCGCCGCGGUAA
RNAcentral lists this ribosomal RNA (504 nucleotides) under uncultured bacterium. Its description in RNAcentral is "partial 16S ribosomal RNA". It matches the Rfam family "Bacterial small subunit ribosomal RNA", at positions 28 to 523 of the family's 1533-position model. The record is from RNAcentral.